GGUGUGUGAGCUGGAAGUGAGAGCCAGAGUGGUGGCACCUCACAAUGAAAUGAUACCACAUUGCACACACUGAUAAUGGGUGUCAGAAGAGACAUGGCCAGAGGCAGGGGUGUGAUGAAUGAUUGAGUGCAGCCAUGUGCUUUCCUGAAAAAAGGGACAGGAUUUAGUCACCAUGCCGAGCAAACAGAGGAGGCUAUCAUAUAAAAACUAGGAGGCAAUGGUGAAGCCCCACCUUCUCACCAGGUCAUUCAAUGCCUUUUUCAGGAGGAUCCUGAAGGUAUAUCAUCCCUGCUUUCAAAGGAUUGCUAAGAGGCAAAGCAAGCUAGAAGAUAAGGGUCAGCUCUCCACUUGGAAAGAAGAUCCUCUCCACAGGAUGAGAUCUUCCCUUCCUACCCUACUUCCUCCAAGUUCUCAGUCCACCUCCCAUCCUGUCUUCCUCUAUAUUCCUAGCCUCAGUGUGGAGCUACCCAGCAAAUCAGCCAAACAAUUAAUGUCAUUGUGUCAGAGAUAGAUGACAUCCUCAGACAAAGAGAAGUUCCAGAUCACCUGCUUGGGAGACAUGCAAGGAACCUGGAAGUUAUCCUUGUCAUCUCCAGUUUCCAGUCCAUCACAAGUCCAGAGGUCCAGAGAGUUUUAGCUCUGCCACUUGUCUGUAAGCUUUAUCUGAAUAAUUAAUAGCAAGUGAUGAAAAUAAUCUGAUUAGUUAAUUGACUGAAGGAGUGGGUGAAGGGGAGGAGGAUUAACAGAAGGUGGAUAGAGGGAUCCUGGCCCGAGGAAUCUCCAAGACUCACCUCCAAACUACAUAGAGCAGGUGCCUCUACCUGUGCUGUUUACCUCUCCUUGUCUCUCUGAAUAAAGUGCAACCCUCUCACUCACAGAAAACAUGUUUCAAUCCACUGAAGGUUAGAACAGUCCUGAGCCUGGAACAGCCCCAACACAUUGGAGAGGCUAAAAAAAAAAAAAAAAAAAAUGCAAAAGGCUUCUGUCCUCCUGCCAGACUGAC
Molecule: long non-coding RNA, 1003 nt
Filed under: Equus caballus (horse)
Lineage: Eukaryota; Metazoa; Chordata; Mammalia; Perissodactyla; Equidae
Description: lncRNA (ENSECAG00000043439.2)
Source: RNAcentral